Molecule: ribosomal RNA, 524 nt
Filed under: uncultured bacterium
Lineage: Bacteria
Description: bacterial SSU rRNA
Rfam family: Bacterial small subunit ribosomal RNA
Source: RNAcentral
GAUCAUGGCUCAGAACGAACGCUGGUAGCGUGGAUUAGGCAUGCAAGUCGGACGGGAUCCGGAAGGUAGCAAUACCGGCCGGUGAGAGUGGCGGACUGGGGAGGAACACGUGGGCAACCUGCCUUGAGUGGGGGAAAACCGCUGGAAACGGCGGCUAAUACCGCAUGUGGCGCCCGGGGACAUCCUCGGAGCGCGAAAGGGGGCCGCAAGGCUCCCGCUCGGAGAGGGGCCCGCGCACCAUCAGCUAGUUGGCGGGGUAACGGCCCACCAAGGCCUACGGUUAGCUGGUCUGAGAGGAUGACCAGCCCCACUGGGACUGAGACACUGCCCAGACUCCUACGGGAGGCUGCAGUCGAGGAUCAUUUGCAAUGGGCGCAAGCCUGACAAUGCGACGCUGCCGUGGAGGAUGAAGGCCUUCGGGUUGUAAACUCCUGUCAUGGGGGAACAGGCGAGGGGACCCAACACGUCCCUUAGUUGAGUGUACCCCAAGAGGAAGGGACGGCUAACUCUGUGCCAGCCGCCGC